GACGAACGCUGGCGGCGUGCUUAACACAUGCAAGUCGAACGGAAAGGCCCUGCUUUUGUGGGGUGCUCGAGUGGCGAACGGGUGAGUAACACGUGAGUAACCUGCCCUUGACUUUGGGAUAACUUCAGGAAACUGGGGCUAAUACCGGAUAGGAGCUCCUGCUGCAUGGUGGGGGUUGGAAAGUUUCGGCGGUUGGGGAUGGACUCGCGGCUUAUCAGCUUGUUGGUGGGGUAGUGGCUUACCAAGGCUUUGACGGGUAGCCGGCCUGAGAGGGUGACCGGCCACAUGGGGACUGAGAUACGGCCCAGACUCCUACGGGAGGCAGCGGUGGGGAAUAUUGCACAAGGGGCGGAGGCCUGAUGCAGCAACGCCGCGUGCGGGAUGACGGCCUUCGGGUGGUAAACCGCUUUCGCCUGUGACGAAGCGUGAGUGACGGUAAUGGGGAAAGAGGCACCGGCUAACUACGU
This 467-nucleotide ribosomal RNA is filed under the name uncultured bacterium. RNAcentral's name for it is "partial 16S ribosomal RNA". It matches the Rfam family "Bacterial small subunit ribosomal RNA", at positions 28 to 506 of the family's 1533-position model. The record is from RNAcentral.